This is a long non-coding RNA of Polypterus senegalus (gray bichir), 1638 nucleotides long. RefSeq lists it as uncharacterized. NCBI's taxonomy places the organism in Eukaryota, Metazoa, Chordata, Cladistia, Polypteriformes, Polypteridae. The record is from RefSeq and is a predicted model, not a curated record. The transcript is spliced from 4 exons.
ACCACCAAGUUUUCCCUGUAUGUUGGAGGAUGAGAAAAAUGUGCAAAUGCAACACAAAAAACAAGCAGAUUGGGAGUGUGUCAUAUGAAAGCAGGAUGCUGGUGCUCCCUACUGUGGCACCUAAAGUUAUGAUGAUCACUGUUGAAUAUUUUUACUGCAACAGGGCACACUAAAAGGUUCAAACUACACUUCAUUUAUCAUUAUCCCUAGCAGUUCUCUUAAAUUCCUUUUGAGCAAAUAAUGAAAAUAAAAAGUACUGUGUAGGUAAAGUUCAACAUGAAAGGUGCUAUAUUUAGUAAAAUGAUAUAGAUAAAAUAAAAUAAUAUAAGAUUAAAUGAGAUAAAUAGCCAAAUCACUGAAGCUGUAGAUUUAUAUUCAAACAGAAGUUUCUUGAAAGGACCUUUUAUUAAAAAAAAAUCAAACUUUGGCUGCUAAGUGAGAAUGGUAAGCUGGUGUCAACUGUGUGGUUUAAAAAGAAAAGCAGCUUCCUGAGUUCAUUGUACCUUUGCCUUGUCAAGUGCAGGCCUCUGUGCAGAGCUGAUAGAGCAGGAAAGGAAGGGUGGAUCUGCUUGAGACUUCCUGUCUUAACUGUGAGUCACUGAGGCCGACUGCGGCUCUCUCUGGACUGUUGAGCUUCACUGCUCUCUGGAUGGCAGGAAUGUGGCUGCACAAGGCAGCUCCUGGGUCAGGAUCUUCUAAAGACUAUGUGGUGGCUGUCUGCCCAUAAGUGUAGUAAUCACAAGGCACUACAUGAGGGUAAAAGUUCAAAAGGAGAAAAAAUAAUAAUGUUUUAGGAAAAAAGACCAGCACUAUAUUUACACUUGUUUGCAGUGUAGUGCAAGGGAAAUUAACCUCUCUAUCUCCUGAUUUUGGAGAAGCAACAGUGCUUUACAAAGGAUCUUCAAUUUCUGUUAUUAAUACAAAGCAAUGGAUUACAAGAUGAAAGGAUCUUUACAUUCUGUCAUCCUCUGUAUAAAUACAAUUCUAAGCUGAUUGUUUUGUAUGUUUGCUUGCCUGUUUGUUUGUUUCUUUGUUCGCCAAUCGCACAAAAAAAAACCUGAACCGAUUCUCAUAAAAGUUUGCAUGCAUGUUGCUGUUGGCUACCUGGGGUAUUGGGGAGCGGGACUGUAAUGGAGGGAAGAAACUCCAAAACUAGUGCCAACAUGAGGACUACAAUUCCUAUCAAGCAGCAGGAGUGUGAUGGGGCUGAUGGGAGGACUCCAUUAUCAGCAUGUACAACGUUUUGUACCAGCCAAAGCAGAAUCUCAUCUAAGACAGGUCAAACCCUGGAAGCUGUUGUGGAAAAAAGAAUGGUGGAAAAACUGGAUACCAUCGUGAAAAAUCCCCUCCAGGAGGCGCUGUCUUGGAACACUUUUAGCCACAGGAUCAUUCCAAUAUGGUGUAUUAAGAAGUGACUCUGGGGGUCUAUCAGGAUUGUGAGGAGCAGGAGCAUAUAUUAAUGGAAGGAUGACAGUGACUGGGCCAGGAAUUAAACUGGAGUCUCAGGAACAGGGUGGCAGCAGGCCUGGCCACUCUGUCACCAAGUGAUCUUAGUGUAUGCACACAUAAAUACACAUACGUCACCUUUCCUUGUGUGUGGAGCCCAUUAAUAUUGUAUCAGACUGAUAAAUAUGGUAA